CCGUUUUAGAAGUUCAGACGAAAAAAACAGAUUAUGGUUAAAAUUUAACCGUAAUCCUAAAUGAAAACAAGGAAGAAAAUUAACUGUUGUCGGGUGCUAGUGCCGGUGUAUACUGUUUGGCUCCACUUGGUACCUUCGCUGGCUGGGAAUGAACUGCGAUCGAAGAACUAGGAGAGGCCGUAAGUGGAAUCGGAACAAAUGUUAGCAGCUCCGAGCAGAUUCCACCAUGUUCAAAAAUAUCUCUGCCAAGAAGAAAGCGACGAGCAGCUGACCAGAAGUGCUAUCCGAAUAUGAACAAGAGCGACCCGGAUGUGGGGCGCAAGUUGUUUCCGUAGUACCAAGGUCCUGAGCGACGACAAUCGCGGUCCUUGGUAUUUCGGCACAGGUGGAAGAGCUGAUGGUUGCCCGGAUCAAUUCCGUUGUAACUAUUGAUCCGGAACAAUUUUUCCGGAUAUUUUUUCCCGAUUCGGCGUUGUUGGAGAUCAGAACAUCAGGAAUCCCGCGCACUCCUCUGCAGGCAGCGCAAUGUCAUUCACAAAACGGAAUGCAAACGAAAAAGUCCCGAUUUUUUUUUAAUUAUACUUGAGAUAAAUAAAGCAGGAUCAGGAACAUGAUUUA
This is a long non-coding RNA of Uranotaenia lowii, 618 nucleotides long. RefSeq lists it as uncharacterized. The record is from RefSeq and is a predicted model, not a curated record. The transcript has 3 exons. NCBI's taxonomy places the organism in Eukaryota, Metazoa, Arthropoda, Insecta, Diptera, Culicidae.